Molecule: small nuclear RNA, 185 nt
Filed under: Canis lupus familiaris (dog)
Lineage: Eukaryota; Metazoa; Chordata; Mammalia; Carnivora; Canidae
Description: 7SK RNA
Rfam family: 7SK RNA
About the family: 7SK was discovered as an abundant small nuclear RNA in the mid-70s but a possible function has only recently been suggested. Two independent studies have found that 7SK RNA binds the CDK9/cyclin T complex (known as elongation factor P-TEFb).
Source: Rfam by way of RNAcentral
ACAUGUGAAGGUGACCUGGCUGUAACAUCUGUCACCAGGGCUGAUGUGGCUAAUCUGGCUGGUAAGGCAGGUGUCCCUCCCUCCAUCAUCACUCCACAUGUGUGCCUCUGAAGCUGAGCACUCUGUUGAAGAGGACAACCUUCCCUGAAAGAGGGGGACCAUUGUUCUAUCCAGGAUAUAUGCUA